RNAcentral lists this ribosomal RNA (512 nucleotides) under uncultured archaeon. RNAcentral's name for it is "bacterial SSU rRNA". It matches the Rfam family "Archaeal small subunit ribosomal RNA", at positions 345 to 859 of the family's 1478-position model. The record is from RNAcentral.
AACCUUCGCAAUGUGCGAAAGCACGACGAGGUUAUUCCGAGUGAUUUCCGCUGAGGAGAUCUUUUCUCAGAUCUAAAAUGUCUGGGGAAUAAGGGGAGGGCAAGUCUGGUGUCAGCCGCCGCGGUAAUACCAGCUCCUCGAGUGGUCAGGGCGUUUAUUGGGCCUAAAGCAUCCGUAGCCGGCUUAGUAGGUCUCCUGUUAAAUCCAACGGCUCAACCGUUGGUCUGCAGGAGAUACCGCUGGGCUAGGAGGCGGGAGAGGCGGACGGUACUCCGAGGGUAGGGGUAAAAUCCUUUGAUCCCCGGAAGACCACCAGGGGCGAAGGCGGUCCGCCAGAACGCGCUCGACGGUGAGGGAUGAAAGCUGGGGGAGCGAACCGGAUUAGAUACUCGGGUAGUCCCAGCCGUAAACGAUGCGAGCUAGGUGACACUACGCCUUCGGGGCGUAGUGGUGCCGCAGGGAAGCCGUUAAGCUCGCCGCCUGGGGAGUACGGACGCAAGUCUGAAACUUAA